This 253-nucleotide ribosomal RNA is filed under the name uncultured bacterium. RNAcentral's name for it is "partial 16S ribosomal RNA". It matches the Rfam family "Bacterial small subunit ribosomal RNA", at positions 524 to 776 of the family's 1533-position model. The record is from RNAcentral.
UACGUAGGGUGCAAGCGUUGUCCGGAAUUAUUGGGCGUAAAGAGCUCGUAGGCGGUCUGUCGCGUCGGCUGUGAAAACCCGGAGCUCAACUCCGGGCCUGCAGUCGAUACGGGCAGACUGGAGUUCGGCAGGGGAGACUGGAAUUCCUGGUGUAGCGGUGAAAUGCGCAGAUAUCAGGAGGAACACCGGUGGCGAAGGCGGGUCUCUGGAACGCAACUGACGCUGAGACGCGAAAGCGUGGGGAGCAAACAGG